UACAGAGGGUGCUAGCGUUAAUCGGAUUUACUGGGCGUAAAGGGCGCGUAGGUGGAUAUUUAAGUGUGAUGUGAAAGCCCCGGGCUUAACCUGGGAAGUGCAUCGCAAACUGGAUAUCUAGAGUACGAGAGAGGGUGGUGGAAUUUCCGGUGUAGCGGUGAAAUGCGUAGAGAUCGGAAAGAACGUCAAUGGCGAAGGCAGCCACCUGGCUCGAUACUGACACUGAGGCGCGAAAGCGUGGGGAGCGAACAGG
This 253-nucleotide ribosomal RNA is filed under the name uncultured bacterium. RNAcentral's name for it is "partial 16S ribosomal RNA". It matches the Rfam family "Bacterial small subunit ribosomal RNA", at positions 524 to 776 of the family's 1533-position model. The record is from RNAcentral.